GGAAUCAUUGGGCGUAAAGAGCGCGUAGGCGGUCCGGUAAGUCGGUUGUGAAAACUGGGGGCUCAACCCUCAGACGCCGACCGAUACUGUCGGGCUAGAGUCCGGAAGAGGCGAGUGGAAUUCCUGGUGUAGCGGUGAAAUGCGCAGAUAUCAGGAGGAACACCAAUGGCGAAGGCAGCUCGCUGGGACGGUACUGACGCUGAGGCGCGAAAGCGUGGGGAGCAAACAGG
Molecule: ribosomal RNA, 230 nt
Filed under: uncultured bacterium
Lineage: Bacteria
Description: partial 16S ribosomal RNA
Rfam family: Bacterial small subunit ribosomal RNA
Source: RNAcentral